This 245-nucleotide ribosomal RNA is filed under the name uncultured Alcaligenaceae bacterium. RNAcentral describes it as "partial 16S ribosomal RNA". It matches the Rfam family "Bacterial small subunit ribosomal RNA", at positions 524 to 768 of the family's 1533-position model. The record is from RNAcentral. Lineage: Bacteria; Pseudomonadati; Pseudomonadota; Betaproteobacteria; Burkholderiales; Alcaligenaceae.
UACGUAGGGUGCAAGCGUUAAUCGGAAUUACUGGGCGUAAAGCGUGCGCAGGCGGUUCGGAAAGAAAGAUGUGAAAUCCCAGAGCUUAACUUUGGAAUGGCAUUUUUAACUACCGGGCUAGAGUAUGUCAGAGGGGGGUAGAAUUCCACGUGUAGCAGUGAAAUGCGUAGAGAUGUGGAGGAAUACCGAUGGCGAAGGCAGCCCCCUGGGAUAAUACUGACGCUCAUGCACGAAAGCGUGGGGAG